GUGUUUGCUAUAAGGCACCACACAAGUGCCAUUUGUCAGACCACUUUAACCGACCAAGAGAGCUCGCAAAAAUAUUCACCUCUCAAACCCUCGCCCUCCUCACGUGUUCAUUUCCUUCCCUUGGGAGAUUUCGUAAACGGUGAAAUUGGGUUCUUUGAAACUCCUAAUAUUGUUUGUUUGUGUUAAUGGCGGAACACUUAGCGUCGAUAUUUGGAACUGAGAAGGACAGGGUGAACUGUCCAUUUUAUUUCAAGAUUGGAGCAUGUCGUCAUGGUGAUCGAUGUUCUAGACUUCACAAUCGUCCUACUAUCUCACCUACUCUUUUACUAUCCAAUAUGUAUCAGAGGCCUGAUAUGAUCACUCCUGGUGUUGAUCCACAAGGACAGUCAAUUGACCCUCGAAAGAUUCAAGAACAUUUUGAGGAUUUUUAUGAGGAUAUAUUUGAGGAACUGAACAAAUUUGGGGAGCUUGAAAGUCUUAAUAUUUGUGAUAACCUUGCUGAUCACAUGGUCGGGAAUGUAUAUGUGCAAUUCAAGGAGGAAGAUCAAGCUGCUGCUGCUUUGAAAGCGUUGCAGGGGCGCUUUUACUCUGGGCGGCCGAUCAUUGCUGACUUUUCCCCUGUCACAGAUUUUCGUGAGGCGACUUGUAGGCAGUUUGAAGAGAACAGCUGUAAUCGGGGUGGGUAUUGUAAUUUUAUGCAUGUGAAGCAAAUCGGGAGAGAAUUGAGGAGGAAACUAUAUGGAAGGUAUCGUCGAUCAUAUGUUAGUCGAAGUCGGAGUAGAAGCAGGAGUUUGAGUCCUCCACGCCACAGGCGGAGUGGGGAUAGGCAUAGUGUUGAAUACCGUGAUCGUGGAGACUAUCGUGGUAGUGGGAGACGCAAUGGAGAUAGGCCUGGAAGGUAUGAUAGUGAUGGAGGUGGCAGACGAAGGCAUGGGAGUCCAAGGCGAAAUAGGAGUCCUGUUCGAGGUAGUCCUGUUAGAGAAGGAAGUGAGGAAAGGAGAGCGAGGAUUGAACAAUGGAAUAGGGAAAGAGAUGAAAAAUGAUGAUUUCGUGGAGUUAGGUGGUUGCUGUUUCCCCUUUAAAAGUAAUCUACAAGCUAAGAAGAUUGCAUGAUUUGCUGAGUUGAUAUGAACUUUGUCAAGUGGACGGCCAUCCAGUCAAAAGCACGGAUGAACUGUGCAAUUUUGAGAAGAGGCUCAAGCUUCACAGUUCAGAAUCUCCUCAAGUCCACUUCAGAGCCUUGUUACGUACUCUGUUAUAAGUUUCAGUUCCAAUCUGUCACUGGGUUCUGAAUUCCUGAUCAGAGUUAAGAAAUUGAGUGAAAGGGACAAAAACAACUUCUUUUUAGGAAUUAAACGUCAAUGGAGCAUGAAGCAAAUCAGAAAUCUUCUUCACCACCACCCAUUUCUAUUAUUUCAAGACUGGAUCGCCUUGAUCGAGUGGUACACUAUAUGGAAGAGAAGCAUAGUAUGUCACAAAGGGAGUUCUCGACAGCAAAGGAUUUUGACUAUAACCGAGUAAAGCCUCUCGCUACUGCACUUGAUGAGAUUCGUGUCAAAGGCACCUUAGUGGAACGAAUAUCCAUGCUGGAGAGUUCUGUUUUACAGCUAGUAAGCAUUGAAAUGGAGGAAGGUGCUUAUUCAAGUUCAAGUUCUUCUACAUUUGCGGUACCCGAAAACGCUGAUCUUGAAAGUUUUCCUACUAAACAAGGCAGAGCCAAAUUUAUUAGUUUUGUUAAUCAAAAAGACGAUUACGCUACGCCUUCGGAGAGCAGCCUUGAAGAAGAACACAACAUGAUAAGUAAUAAGCCCCGGAGCAAAAGAAAAGGGAGAUCACCAUCACUGAUGAUGAGUAGUCUUCGUUAUCGCGGGAAAUGGUUGGGAUGCUUUCACACGCCAACUCACUGAAUCCGCAGUGGUGAGCAUAAUGAAUCUUCUUGUUGGUAUGAUCAAUCAAUUCUCCACGAGAAUAGAAAACAAAUUAGAAGUUUCAAGCUUCUGAUAUCAAAAGAAAAAAUUGUAUACGUCCAGUAUUUGAUAUUUGAAAUAGCUUUUGAUGGGGUCAAAAAAACCAACCAGGAUUAGUUCAAUUAGGCAGUGAUGGAAGAAUUUUCCGGGAGCCGCAAAUGUAUGGAGUGGCAAUUGGUAUAUCCUUCCAAGGUCGAUGAGCAUUUUCCACUCUACAUAGCUUUCAAUAAAAAUACUAAAAUUUUCAUUCCAAAUUUGCGUUUAAUGAAAUAAUAAAUUAACUGGUAACUUUGUGGAUGAAUUAACUAGCCAGAGAAACUUCGUUACACUUAACAUUAUUAUGGU
Molecule: RNA transcript, 2312 nt
Organism: Papaver somniferum (opium poppy)
Lineage: Eukaryota; Viridiplantae; Streptophyta; Magnoliopsida; Ranunculales; Papaveraceae
Gene name: splicing factor U2af small subunit B-like
Exons: 7
Source: RefSeq, a predicted model, not a curated record